Molecule: ribosomal RNA, 352 nt
Filed under: uncultured bacterium
Lineage: Bacteria
Description: bacterial SSU rRNA
Rfam family: Bacterial small subunit ribosomal RNA
Source: RNAcentral
GGAGGAUCCGAGCGUUAUCCGGAUUUAUUGGGUUUAAAGGGUGCGUAGGCGGUUUGAUAAGUUAGAGGUGAAAUCCCGGGGCUUAACUCCNGAACUGCCUCUAAUACUGUUANACUAGAGAGUACUUGCGGUAGGCGGAAUGUAUGGUGUAGCGGUGAAAUGCUUAGAGAUCAUACAGAACACCGAUUGCGAAGGCAGCUUACCAAACUAUAUCUGACGUUGAGGCNCGAAAGCGUGGGGAGCAAACAGGAUUAGAUACCCUGGUAGUCCACGCAGUAAACGAUGAUAACUCGUUGUCGGCGAUACACAGUCGGUGACUAAGCGAAAGCGAUAAGUUAUCCACCUGGGGAGU